GGACUACCGGGGUAUCUAAUCCUGUUUGCUCCCCUAGCUUUCGCAGCUCAGCGUCAGUGAUGGCCCAGUAACCUGCUUUCGCCUUAGGUAUUCCUCCCGAUAUCUACGCAUUUCACCGCUACACCGGGAAUUCCAGUUACCCCUACCACACUCUAGCCAGACAGUUUCCGUUGACCUCUCCCAGUUAAGCCGGGAGCUUUCACAACAGACUUAUCCGACCGCCUACCUGCGCUUUACGCCUAGUGAUUCCGAGUAACGCUUGCCACCUACGUAUUACCGCGGCGGCUGGCAC
This 292-nucleotide ribosomal RNA is filed under the name uncultured bacterium. Its description in RNAcentral is "partial 16S ribosomal RNA". The record is from RNAcentral.